CACAAAUUAUUUUCCGAUUGUAAAAGGUUUCACAGAAUUGCCCUUGUCGACGUGGAGGGAUUUUUUUCCUUCUUUCAGUUUGUUUUUGUGGGACUACUUCAGUUACCUCAAGCAGGUCUCGAACUGCUAUCAUCUUGAUCAACUUUUUAAAGCCUUGUUUAUUUGUUUUUACUUUAUGCGCAUUGGUGUUUUGCCAUGGGUGUCCUGUUCCCCUGGAGCCGGAGUUACAGACAACUGUGAGCUGCCAUGUGGGUGCUCGGAAUGGAACCCAAGACUUCUGGAAGUUGAGGCAUCAAGAACAGACAGACUGGGACAGACAUACCAAAGAAAGAUUCCACAUAAGUCUGUCUUGCAAAUAUUUAUUGAGAGACAGCUAUAAGCUAAGCUCUUGGGAUCUAAUGACAAUGAAGACAGAGACAAAUUCUUUGUGGUCUCAAAGAGAUUACUCACCCCUGGA
Molecule: long non-coding RNA, 457 nt
Filed under: Cricetulus griseus (Chinese hamster)
Lineage: Eukaryota; Metazoa; Chordata; Mammalia; Rodentia; Cricetidae
Description: lncRNA (ENSCGRG00015040029.1)
Source: RNAcentral